GAAAGGACCUGGAAUCUGUGUCUCCUGUCUUCCAGGGUAGAAGGACCUCUGACAUCGUGUGGUGAACCUCACUGGGAGGUUGCUGACUUCAGCUGUCUCUGUCUCCUUCCUCCAUGCUCUCUGAAGGAGAAAGCAGAAGAAAAGACGAAGGGACAGACAUCAGAAGAGGAGCAUCGAAGACAAGCUUGAGAGUGCUUUGCUGGAUUUUCAAAGAAUGGCGAGAAUCAGCUGUUGGCAUUUGCCAUAUAAACAUAUGGAGACUUACCAACUCAAGAGAACAUACUAGACAACUGAGAACAGAGCACAUUCCUGAAGAAAAGGGGAUAUGCUAUAUACACCAGGGUGACUGAACUCUCCUGUCUGGAUGGAAGGAUUUCAGCCAGGUCAUUAACAAAACUGCCUUAAAGAAGCUCUUGAUUCUUUAUGGAAGAAGUAAAAGGGGAAACAGUGUUCAGAGCAUACCAGGAAAGUAUCACAAUUGCCUUCCUGGUGCCUGUGCAUUGCAAGAAGAAAUAAACAUAGCAAGGUUAUCUCUGAUAAAGUGCA
This 546-nucleotide long non-coding RNA is filed under the name Anas platyrhynchos platyrhynchos (common mallard). RNAcentral's name for it is "lncRNA (ENSAPLG00000028449.1)". Lineage: Eukaryota; Metazoa; Chordata; Aves; Anseriformes; Anatidae. The record is from RNAcentral.